UACCCGCAGCACAAGUGGUGGUCAUUAUUAUUGGGCCUAAAGCGUCCGUAGCUGGCCUGUUAGAUGCCUGGGUAAAUCGAUGCGCUCAACGCAUCGAACUCCGGGUAGACCGGCAGGCUUGGGACCGGGAGAGAUGUGAGCUACUCGAGGGGUAGGGGCAAAAUCCUGUAAUCCUUCGGGGAGGACCAGUGGCGAAGGCGUCACAUUAGAACGGCUCCGACAGUGAGGGACGAAGCCCUGGGGCGCAAACCGG
Molecule: ribosomal RNA, 253 nt
Filed under: uncultured bacterium
Lineage: Bacteria
Description: partial 16S ribosomal RNA
Rfam family: Archaeal small subunit ribosomal RNA
Source: RNAcentral